GAUGAACGCUGGCGGCGUGCCUAAUACAUGCAAGUCGAGCGAACAGACGAGGAGCUUGCUCCUCUGACGUUAGCGGCGGACGGGUGAGUAACACGUGGAUAACCUACCUAUAAGACUGGGAUAACUUCGGGAAACCGGAGCUAAUACCGGAUAAUAUAUUGAACCGCAUGGUUCAAUAGUGAAAGACGGUUUUGCUGUCACUUAUAGAUGGAUCCGCGCCGCAUUAGCUAGUUGGUAAGGUAACGGCUUACCAAGGCAACGAUGCGUAGCCGACCUGAGAGGGUGAUCGGCCACACUAGAACUGGGACACGGUCCAGACUCCUACGGGAGGCAGCAGUAGGGAAUCUUCCGCAAUGGGCGAAAGCCUGACGGAACAACGCCGCGUGAGUGGUGAAGGUCUUCGGAUCGUAAAACUCUGUUAUUGGGGAAGAACAAAUGUGUAAGUAGCUAUGCACGUCUUGACGGUACCUAAUCAGAAAGCCACGGCUAACUACGUG
Molecule: ribosomal RNA, 497 nt
Filed under: uncultured bacterium
Lineage: Bacteria
Description: partial 16S ribosomal RNA
Rfam family: Bacterial small subunit ribosomal RNA
Source: RNAcentral